Molecule: long non-coding RNA, 2407 nt
Organism: Athene cunicularia (burrowing owl)
Lineage: Eukaryota; Metazoa; Chordata; Aves; Strigiformes; Strigidae
Exons: 3
Source: RefSeq, a predicted model, not a curated record
CCGGCGCCAGGCUGUACCGCUGGCCGAGGGGCGGCUUUGCCCGCUGAGCGGCCGCUGCCCCUGUCACAGGCCCGAAUCUGCUCGGGGGCUGCCGCCGAGGUGGGCUUCGUCGGGUCGUCGAACGGAUCGGGAAGUGAUUUUGGCAAACAGCGCUUCGCUCCCCGGGCGCCUGGGUUUGUGUCACAGGAGCGAGGUGAUCCACCCUGCGGCCGCGAAGCGCUGGGAGCUGUGAGAAGAGUAGAAGGAGGAGCGGCUGGGGUGGAGGUGGCGGGCUGCCUCCCCGGCAGCAGCCGGGGCGAGAUCGGCUUUAGCUUGUCCCAAGACCUGUGUGGGGUUACGUGCCAGAACCAAUUAACCUCAUGACACAAAUCCAGGGAGAUCAGGUUUCCUUAAUUCUCUUUCUCACUAAGUUAUUUGAUUGUCAGGAUGGACAACCCUUGGCAAUUGUUUGUAUCCUGACGAUGACAUCUUGUCGUCUGUGAUACCAGGCACUAGGGGGAUUUGGCUAUUACUAGACCAGUUGAAAACUGUUACUUCUUGCUUGUGCUGUGCAUAGCGUGGUUCAAUUUUUGACAGCAUUAUGACUGAAAUUCUGUGUCGUCUGUAACAUGCCUGGUGCAGAACAUCAUCUGGGUCAUAUAAAAAACUCCAGUGUGAUUGUGGGGCUUGUCUGGCUUAUCUUCACAUGGGACUGGAGUUCAAAGGCAUGGUAACUGAAAGGUAAUGGGGGACAUUCAUUAAACUGUGAGGCAGAACUGCCUACCUAAAUGACAAAGAAUCCAUAAGGAUGAAGAUCGAAAAGCAGUUGUGAUCAAGGCUAAUUUUAAAUUCAUUGGUUCAAUUGUGCUCCUGUGUGAAUACUUGUGCCUAUACAGAGAAUUGUUGAAACAAGCUGCUGAUGAUGGUGAAAAUGUAUGUAAACAAAGCAAAGAGGACAAUUCUCAGCUUGGUUUUGAGCAACACAGACAACAAACUUACACAUAGGAAGUAUUAAGCAACAGUAACUAAUAAGAUGGGCUUGCUUUUAAAGUCAGGAGGACUGUUGGCUCAUCACUGCUUGAGUAUAACCAGUUAACAUUAAUAGGAGCAAUGCACAUGUUAAACAAGAAAAGUAGGCUUGUUAUCUCAGAAGUGUAAUGAGAAAAAAUAGCAGGAAGCAUGAGUUGGGAUUUCCAGAAAAAACAGGAGGUCAGAAAUUCCUGAAUUUAGAUGGCUGGCUCAUUCACUGAUUCACUGUGCUCUUCCUAAAGCAAAUUACGUGACUCACCUGACUCAUUUUCUUCAUCUGUAAAUUGUACGGUGUAUGCCAGUUGCACACACUUAAUAUUGGUAGAGAAUUCUUGUUUAUCAAGUUAAUUGGGAUUACUAAUAAAAGAAGAAGGAUAUAAAGGACAAAGCAGACCACAUUAACGCUAAUUUGAUGUGAGAUUAGAGAGUUGCCUAUGCCUAGAAAUAGCUGCAUCAACCCAGAUAUGUAUUGUAGAUAGUCUAAAAUAGGGCAUGAAAUGGCAUGCCUUAGAUCUGAAAUAGGAUUAAAACAGACUGUGGCAAUAUUUCUAUGAUAAUAUUUCUUCCAGUGUUGAAGUACCUACAUUUUCAGAAUGAGUCAUUCUAUCUUCUCCCAUUACUUCCAGCAGGUUUCCAAACACCCCUUCAGUUAAUCUUUCUCCAGUUUCUUGGGUUCUUGUCUUAAAUUUCUUCAUUAGCCCCCUUUUUUGUGGUUUCCAGCUCUUUACCCAGCUUGCCCUUCUCAUCUCAACCUCCCUCAUCUCCUUGUUCCAAUCUAUUGCCUUUUUUUUUUUCUCUGUUUAAGUUGGAUGAUUUCUUCCUUCAUGCUGAUUAAAGGUCGGCAAGGGAAGAGAGGAUCACUGAACAAUUAGUGACUGCUCUGUUUCCUCAUCAAACACACACAAGCAAUUAUAGAGAAAGUUCUUCAGCAGUGAUGCAGCAGUGGUUUGGACUCAUGCCUACUAUUUCUCUCUGAAUGGCAGCUAUGCAGUCUGGUCAUGUAUGUGAGAGAUUUAUCUGCUAAGUGAGAGUGGAAUAUUUUGAGAUUUAAGUAUUAAACUCACACAUGUCUCUAUCCAACAUGCGCUAAAUACUGUUUUACAAAGUCUCAUAAUUUGGACAAAUUUGAGAAGAUUUUCCCAGGGAUUGCAAAAGCACAUCUUUAAUAUUAAGGCCUCUUUCUAUGAAACCUCAGCUUCCUACUUGAAGGUAAGGAUUGCCAACCAAUGAGAUGAGAAUCCAUUAGAAAUUAGAUGCGGAGCUUACCCUGUUUCCUUUUCUCUUGUCUUGGACUGCACAAACAAUAGUCACAAUGAAAACAACAAGGGACAAACUGUAAACUCAAGCUUAAUGUAAGAGGAAGAUAUUGAUGAAUUUUCUCUUGAAGAAUAAAGCCUCU